ACCGGCGAUACCCGAAUGGGGAAACCCAGUGUGACUCGUCACACUAUCAUUAACUGAAUCCAUAGGUUAAUGAGGCGAACCGGGGGAACUGAAACAUCUAAGUACCCCGAGGAAAAGAAAUCAACCGAGAUUCCCCCAGUAGCGGCGAGCGAACGGGGAGGAGCCCAGAGCCUGAAUCAGCAUGUGUGUUAGUGGAAGCGUCUGGAAAGGCGCGCGAUACAGGGUGACAGCCCCGUACACAAAAGCGCAUGUGCUGUGAGCUCGAUGAGUAGGGCGGGACACGUGGUAUCCUGUCUGAAUAUGGGGGGACCAUCCUCCAAGGCUAAAUACUCCUGACUGACCGAUAGUGAACCAGUACCGUGAGGGAAAGGCGAAAAGAACCCCGGCGAGGGGAGUGAAAAAGAACCUGAAACCGUGUACGUACAAGCAGUGGGAGCACCCUUUGGGUGUGACUGCGUACCUUUUGUAUAAUGGGUCAGCGACUUAUAUUCUGUAGCAAGGUUAACCGAAUAGGGGAGCCGGAGGGAAACCGAGUCUUAACCGGGCGUUAAGUUGCAGGGUAUAGACCCGAAACCCGGUGAUCUAGCCAUGGGCAGGUUGAAGGUUGGGUAACACUAACUGGAGGACCGAACCGACUAAUGUUGAAAAAUUAGCGGAUGACCUGUGGCUGGGGGUGAAAGGCCAAUCAAACCGGGAGAUAGCUGGUUCUCCCCGAAAGCUAUUUAGGUAGCGCCUCGUGAA
This 741-nucleotide ribosomal RNA is filed under the name Salmonella enterica subsp. enterica serovar Enteritidis. RNAcentral's name for it is "partial 23S ribosomal RNA". It matches the Rfam family "Bacterial large subunit ribosomal RNA", at positions 103 to 888 of the family's 2925-position model. Lineage: Bacteria; Pseudomonadati; Pseudomonadota; Gammaproteobacteria; Enterobacterales; Enterobacteriaceae. The record is from RNAcentral.